RNAcentral lists this ribosomal RNA (300 nucleotides) under uncultured Bacillus sp. Its description in RNAcentral is "bacterial SSU rRNA". It matches the Rfam family "Bacterial small subunit ribosomal RNA", at positions 496 to 795 of the family's 1533-position model. Lineage: Bacteria; Bacillati; Bacillota; Bacilli; Caryophanales; Bacillaceae. The record is from RNAcentral.
GCUAGCGUGGGUGCAGCAGCAGGGGGAAUACGAAGGGUGAGAACGUUGAUCGGAAUGAUUGUGCGGAAAGCGCACGUAGGCGGCCUUGUAAGUCGGAUGUGAAAUCCCUCGGCUUAACAGAGGACGGGUAUCCGAAACUGUGAGGCUCGAGGAUGGAAGAGGGUCGCAGAAUUCCCGGUGUAGAGGUGAAAUUCGUAGAUAUCGGGAGGAAUACCAGUGGCGAAGGCGGCGACCUGGGCCAAUACUGACGCUGAGGUGCGAAAGCGUGGGGAGCAAACAGGAUUAGAUACCCGAGUAGUC